RNAcentral lists this long non-coding RNA (2139 nucleotides) under Homo sapiens (human). RNAcentral describes it as "HSALNT0192330". The record is from RNAcentral. Lineage: Eukaryota; Metazoa; Chordata; Mammalia; Primates; Hominidae.
GAUAUGUUCUUCAAACUACUGCCAUAGAACAUCUCAGAAAACAGGACUGCCUGGGCAGCUCAGACUGACACACUUGCUUUCAUCUGAAACCAGCUAAUAUUUCAUUUUGCUUGCUCAAUUAUUCUGCUUUUAUAGAACUCAUGACACUCAGUGCAGUAAAAUCAUAAUUAGAAGCUCUUAUGUAUAACAUUGAUUAUUUCAUGCCAUGUCUUUAUUGAAACAAUAACAUUUAUUUGUUGUUUGUUAUCAGGUGUCAUUAGUUCCUUGCUAGAAUUUCUUUGGUGUCCUUUCUGCAUUUCAAACUCACAAAGGUUCUGUGAAAAGCAAUAUGUUCCCCAGUGGAGCUUAAAGUCUGGUGCAGAAAGCAGACAUUUAACAGGUAAGCUGAGUGUUCAGAAAGGCUAAGCACAAGAUGAUAUAGGCAAUAAAGCUGACCUACUAUAGAUUAAGGCAGACCUUUCUAAAGCAGAGACAACUAAGGAAUGUGGGAAUUUGCCAGGCAAAGAUUGGGAGGCGGGGGACAUCAGAAAAAUGAAAGAAUAUUACUGGCUACAUAAUUGAAACUUUAUAACAGUCGAAUUGGUCAUAAAGUUGAUAACACUGUAUUGUGCACUUAAAAUUUUGUUAAGACAGCAGAUCUCACGUUAAGUCUUCUUACCAAGAUAAUAAUAAUAAUAAAAGAAUAAGAGCAUUACUUGUUGAAGAAUAUGUAAAGAGAUAGAAACAUAAGACAUUUCUCUAAAAAUAACAUUAUAAGUCAUUGGCUAUGGAGAUGUUUGGCAUUGUUGCAUAAUGUCGAAUUGUUUCUGAAGACCUUAGAGUUUUUGAAGAUCUCAAAGAGUCAGGAUUGUUGAAACAUACAGAGAAACAGGAUGAUGGGUUAUAAGAAGAUAUCAAAGAAAAAAGUGUUAGUUUGCAUGUGUGUUUGUUAAUUUGUGUGUUUUCAGCAUAGGGAACAUAUUUCAGCAUAGGGAACACAUUUAUGAAAGCACAUGGAAGGAAACCAGUGGAUGGAGAGAUUUUGAAGAUAAAAGUGAGAGACAGCAUAAUUAAUGGCACAAGUUUCCAAAGGAGUGGGGAAAAUGAGUUCAAGUUCAUAACGGAGAGGGGAAAGAACUGAGAAUAAAAACAGGGUCUUCUAGUUACACUGCCCAGUGUUUCUUCACACUUGCUAAAGCUGGUUAAGAAACAAUAGCAGCACAAUGUAAAAGUAAAUGCAUUAUUCUUUUAUGAUUUGAAACAAAUUAUGUUUCUAAUAUAGUAGAAGGAUGAGUGUUUUAUUUUAUUUUUUCAUGUACCAAUUCAAGUUAAUGGAGAAAAGAGUCUGAAGACCAUGAGCACAAUGUAAACUCUCCUCUUGGAGCUAUCCAUUGAAAAAUUCCUCUAAAAAAUUCUUCUAGUCACCAUUUUCCACAGGCAUUAAGACGAUUCAAGUGACUUUUAUUAGUAAAAAACUAUAUUCUUCAAAAGAAUAUGUGUCUGGUUGAAUAUUUUUUCGUAUAUUAUUGCUUUUAUUAUAACAAUGGUUAAGGUGUCUUGAUCAUUACACUGAGUGUUGCCAGUACACAAGGACCAAGCUGGUAAAUGUUAAACAUUUAACAUCCGAGAUGUGUCCAGGAAUAGCUAUUCAACUCUGCUAGAAUGACUGUGUCAAUUAAUCGACCACUCAUGAGGAAGUGUGCAUGAUGGAUUUUCAAAUUUUUUUGGCAAAAAACUGUGUGUGUGUGUGUGUGUGUGUGUGUAUACACAUGCAAAUAUUUGUAUUUGAAAGAUAAUAUUUGUAUUAUCUUUCAAAACUAUUUUUAAAUUGUUUAAAUGCUUAGACCCUUUGGAAAAGCUACCGUUACUGAAGCUAGAAUAUGAGUUUCAGGAUUCUACCUUUUGCUCCAAGAGAUAGCUUUAGAAGGGUCAUUUAAAAAAUGUGCUGAUAGGUAAAAAUCAGUCAAAGGAAGGAUAAACGUUUCCAGGCUUUCUCUACUGUUUGUAUCUAGGCUAGACAAGUCUAUCUCGGCUUAUUGUUAUUCCAGUCUGACUAAUUUUCUUUGUAUUUAAUGACUCUGUUAAAUGUGUCUGCUUUAUGUUUCACAAAUACUUAAUCAUCUGCUUAUUUCAUCAUAAAGGAACUUUUUGUUUACAGAU